AUUGAACGCUGGCGGCAGGCUUAACACAUGCAAGUCGAGCGGGGUGAUGGUGCUUGCACUAUCACUUAGCGGCGGACGGGUGAGUAAUGCUUAGGAAUCUGCCUAUUAGUGGGGGACAACAUCUCGAAAGGGAUGCUAAUACCGCAUACGUCCUACGGGAGAAAGCAGGGGAUCACUUGUGACCUUGCGCUAAUAGAUGAGCCUACGUCGGAUUAGCUAGUUGGUGGGGUAAAGGCCUACCAAGGCGACGAUCUGUAGCGGGUCUGAGAGGAUGAUCCGGCACACUGGGACUGAGACACGGCCCAGACUCCUACGGGAGGCAGCAGUGGGGAAUAUUGGACAAUGGGGGGAACCCUGAUCCAGCCAUGCCGCGUGUGUGAAGAAGGCCUUAUGGUUGUAAAGCACUUUAAGCGAGGAGGAGGCUCUUUUGGUUAAUACCCAAGAUGAGUGGACGUUACUCGCAGAAUAAGCACCGGCUAACUCUGUGCCAGCCGCCGCCGUAA
This 503-nucleotide ribosomal RNA is filed under the name uncultured bacterium. Its description in RNAcentral is "partial 16S ribosomal RNA". It matches the Rfam family "Bacterial small subunit ribosomal RNA", at positions 30 to 523 of the family's 1533-position model. The record is from RNAcentral.